UGGGGAAUAUUGCACAAUGGGCGCAAGCCUGAUGCAGCCAUGCCGCGUGUAUGAAGAAGGCCUUCGGGUUGUAAAGUACUUUCAGCGAGGAGGAAGGCGUUGUGGUUAAUAACCGCAGCGAUUGACGUUACUCGCAGAAGAAGCACCGGCUAACUCCGUGCCAGCAGCCGCGGUAAUACGGAGGGUGCAAGCGUUAAUCGGAAUUACUGGGUGUAAAGCGCACGCAGGCGGUCUGUCAAGUCGGAUGUGAAAUCCCCGGGCUCAACCUGGGAACUGCAUCCGAAACUGGCAGGCUAGAGUCUUGUAGAGGGGGGUAGAAUUCCAGGUGUAGCGGUGAAAUGCGUAGAGAUCUGGAGGAAUACCGGUGGCGAAGGCGGUCCCCUGGACAAAGACUGACGCUCAGGUGCGAAAGCGUGGGGAGCAAACA
This 427-nucleotide ribosomal RNA is filed under the name uncultured bacterium. Its description in RNAcentral is "partial 16S ribosomal RNA". It matches the Rfam family "Bacterial small subunit ribosomal RNA", at positions 355 to 774 of the family's 1533-position model. The record is from RNAcentral.